This 253-nucleotide ribosomal RNA is filed under the name uncultured bacterium. RNAcentral describes it as "partial 16S ribosomal RNA". It matches the Rfam family "Bacterial small subunit ribosomal RNA", at positions 524 to 776 of the family's 1533-position model. The record is from RNAcentral.
UACAGAGGGGGCAAGCGUUAUUCGGAAUUAUUGGGCGUAAAGGGCGCGUAGGCGGCCUGGCAAGUGGAAGGUGAAAUCCCUCGGCUUAACCGAGGAACUGCCUCCCAAACUGCUUGGCUCGAGACCGGGAGAGGUGAGUGGAAUUCCCAGUGUAGCGGUGAAAUGCGUAGAUAUUGGGAGGAACACCAGUGGCGAAGGCGGCUCACUGGACCGGUACUGACGCUGAUGCGCGAAAGCCAGGGGAGCAAACGGG